Molecule: non-coding RNA, 4367 nt
Organism: Theobroma cacao (cacao)
Lineage: Eukaryota; Viridiplantae; Streptophyta; Magnoliopsida; Malvales; Malvaceae
Source: RefSeq, a predicted model, not a curated record
UUCUUUUGUCUUCUUAAUACAAUCAACUUUACAUUCUACAGCAACGACGCUCGGUUUAAAAUACAAACAGCUCCUUUCGUUCUAUUUCUCUCUCUCUCUCUCUCUCCCUCUAUUCAAAAAAAUCGCCGAUUUUUUAAUCAGAUGGGGAUGGAGCAACAUUUAUUAGCUUCUGAGACUAAUGAAUCCACCACAACAAGUUUGCAUGGAAGUAACACUUUGAGUCAGGGUGGUUCUUCAACAAAUGCGUCUGUCAGUGAUCAAAAUGUAAAUUACACUAAUGUUGGAGUUAGUAAACAAAAUGAGACUUUCUGUAACUUGCAUAGUGUUCCUUAUAUUUAUCGACAAGAUGUUGUCAGGAGUAAUACAAGUGGUGCAAUUGGGAUUGUGAGUGAAGUUGCUGGUGACUCAGAUUCAGAUGGAAGCAUAACUGAUGAUGAAGAUGACGAAGACGAAGAUGAUGAGGAGGAUGGUGAAGAUGAAAGCGGUAAUGGUGAUGCAAAUAGCAAUGCUAAUGAGAGUGGUGAUGGGAACAAAGGUGGUAAUUAUAAGUGCGGUGAUCUUCAAGCCGAUCAAAUUCGGGUACUCUGGAUGGAUGACACUGAGCCAGUUCAAAGUAUUAAGAAUGUAAGUGUUGUUGAUCGGGGUUUCUUACAUGGGGAUUAUGUUGCUGCUGCUUUAGAUUCAACUGGACAGGUGGGUGUUGUGGUGGACGUCAAUGUCUCUGUUGAUCUGUUAGCUCCUGAUGGAUCUAUUUUAAAUGAUGUCUCAACUAGAGACUUGCAACGUGUGAGGGAUUUCACUGUGGGCGAUUAUGUGGUCCUUGGUCCCUGGCUGGGUAGAAUAGAUGAUGUUUUAGAUAAUGUCAACGUGUUGUUUGAUGAUGGCUCUGUAUGCAAAGUUACAAGGGCUGAACCAUUGCGUCUUAAACCAAUUACUAGAAAUACCCUUGAAGACGAUAGUAAUUUUCCAUACUAUCCUGGUCAGCGAGUAAGAGCAAGCUCUUCAUCUGUUUUCAAGAAUUCUAGGUGGUUAUCUGGCUUAUGGAAGGCAAAUCGGUUGGAAGGUACAGUCACUAAAGUUACAGCUGGAGCUGUGUUUAUUUAUUGGAUAGCAUCUGCUGGCUAUGGGCCUGAUUCUUCCACUGCCCCUGCUGAAGAGCAGAAUCCAAAGAAUCUAAAACUGUUGUCUUGUUUUGCGCAUGCAAAUUGGCAAGUGGGUGAUUGGUGUCUUCUUCCAACUUCAUCGCAAUGCAUUCCUUUGGACAAGGGUUUGUCCAAACUGCAGCUUAAUGGUUCCAUAAAAAAUAGGGGAAAUUGUGAUAAGUUGGAUAGUGAAUGGGAUUCCAAAGAGGUUAUUCUGUAUGAAUCAAAUGAUAAUAGUGAAUCCAUGGAUCUUGAUGCAACACCUACACCUGAUGAAAACAAUGCAACUAUUGAAACUAAAGACAAUGGAGCUAUUGGAACUAAAGCCUCACCUGAAUCUAGCUCUUGUAGUAGUUCAUUAUCAGUUUCAAAGGAGACUGUCCAUGAACAUUGGCCACAUCACCGCAAGAAGAUCCGGAAAGUUGUGAUUAGGAAAGACAAGAAAGCAAAAAAGAAAGUGGAGAAUUUUGAAAGGGCACUUUUGAUUGUCAAUAGCAGAACAAGAGUUGAUGUUGCAUGGCAGGAUGGAACAAUCGAACGUGGAGUGGAUGCAACGACAUUGAUCCCAAUUGAAACUCCCGGUGAUCAUGAAUUUGUUGCAGAGCAGUAUGUGGUGGAGAAGGCCUCUGAUGAUAGUGAUGAUGUAUAUGAACCCAGGCGUGUUGGGGUUGUCAAAAGUGUUAAUGCAAAGGAGCGGACAGCUUGUAUAAGGUGGAUAAAGCCAGUUGCCAGGGCAGAGGACCCUCGAGAGUUUGACAAGGAAGAAAUUGUAAGUGUGUAUGAGCUGGAAGGACAUCCAGAUUAUGAUUAUUGUUAUGGUGAUGUAGUAGUUCGAUUAUCCCCGGCUUCUGUUCCCAUGCAAUCUGCUUCUGGUGAAGGCUUCAUUGAGGAACCAAAGCAGGAAGAUGGAUCAAAGGAGAUAAAACGAGACUUGAAAAAGUGCUCAGGAAGUAACAAAGUAGAAGGUGAAUCACCAAAUGAAGCUUCCAUGGACUUCACGGAUCUCUCUUGGGUUGGGAACAUAACUGGCCUGAGAAAUGGUGAUAUUGAGGUUACAUGGGCUGAUGGGAUGGUUUCAACGGUUGGACCUCAAGCAAUUUAUGUUGUUGGCCGAGAUGAUGAUGAGUCAAUUGCUGCUGGGAGUGAAGUAAGUGAUGAUGCUGCUAGUUGGGAAACGGUUAAUGAUGAUGAGAUGGAUGCUCUUGAGAAUGCUCAAGAGGAUCUGGAACCACAAAAUGCCAGCAGUAUUAUUUCGGACGUUGAAGAGGGUAUGGAGAAUAAUUCUGGAAGGAAUGCAGCAUUAUCACUCCCCUUAGCUGCAUUUGAUUUUGUCACCAGACUGGCCAGUGGAUUUUUUUCAGGAAGACGAAAAAAUAUUGAUCCAAUUGAUUUGGAUUCCAAAGGAGAAAAUGAACUUCAGCCUGAGGGAAGAGAUUUCAGCCAUGAGUCUAGCUCUCAAAAGUCUAAUGUUCUUGAUAAUUUCAGUGGGGAAAGCGUUAAUGAGAAAGGAGAGGAACAUGUUGAUGAAAAGGCCCACGAACUUUCACUUCCAUCAGAUGUUUUAUGCAAUGUGAGGAUUGAAGACUCAGAUUCUAAAACAGGUGAUGAGGAUGAUACUUGCAGUUUCAAGCGGUUUGAUACAGCUAAAGAUCCUCUAGAUCAUUAUUUUCUUGGUGCAAAUGGACAGAAUAGUACUGGAAGAAAGUGGCUAAAGAAGGUGCAGCAAGAUUGGAACAUCCUUCAGAACAACCUGCCAGAUGGAAUCUAUGUACGGGUAUAUGAAGAUCGGAUGGACCUCUUGAGGGCUGUAAUAGUUGGGGCAUAUGGGACACCUUAUCAAGAUGGUCUCUUCUUCUUUGAUUUCCACCUUCCUCCUGAGUAUCCAGAUGUGCCACCGUCAGCAUACUAUCAUUCUGGCGGUUGGAGAAUAAAUCCUAAUUUGUAUGAGGAAGGUAAGGUGUGCCUUAGCCUUCUAAAUACAUGGACUGGCAGGGGAAACGAAGUUUGGGAUUCAUUGUCCUCUAGCAUCCUUCAAGUCCUAGUUUCACUGCAGGGGUUAGUGCUAAAUUCUAGGCCAUAUUUCAAUGAAGCUGGGUAUGAUAAGCAGGUUGGAACAGCUGAAGGAGAGAAAAAUUCAUUAGCAUACAAUGAGAAUACUUUCUUACUGAACUGCAAGUCAAUGAUGUAUCUCAUGCGGAAGCCCCCAAAGGACUUUGAAGAACUUGUCAGAGACCAUUUCAGGAGACGUGGUUUUUACAUCCUUAAAGCAUGUGAUGCAUACAUGAAAGGCUACUUAAUUGGCUCUCUAACUAAAGAUGCCUCUUAUAGUGAUGCAAACAAUGCAAACUCCACUUCAGUUGGUUUCAAGCUGAUGUUAGGCAAGAUUGUACCUAAGCUUUUAUUGGCACUUAAUGAAGUUGGAGCUGAUUGUCAGGAAUUUAAGCAUUUCCAGCAAUCAUAGUGGUGGGUUCUAAACACUACUCGUUGGUGAAAAAAAAAAUGAAAAAAAAGAAAGACAACUACUCAGCAUUGCCAUCAAAGCAACAAGGUCAGUGCUGGUAAUUCCAAAUUCCAGAUAUUUGUCAAUGUAAAGGCUCUAUCAUGCUCUGUGACUGUUUAUAGGACUUGGUAAAACAUUCUUCUGUCUUGUUUGGAAGCCUUAUAAAUUUUAGGAGCUGGAGUUUCUUGGAGCAAAUCGCAGGGGUCCUUUUCUGUCUUUUGGAAUUUGUUUUUUAAAAACUAACUUAGAAGAUUCAAAAUGCGUGCAGAUUUUUCUCCUCUUAUUUCUUCACUUCAUAUGGGUGAAUUUUGCGUCUAACUUUUUGUUUUCAAAUUUCUUUUAGUACUUUAGGAAUGGGAAGACAGUCAGGGUUUUCGAUUGACUGUUGACUUCAGAUGAUGAAUUGAAAGAAAAGAGUGUCCUACGUCUCAAGUUUCAUUAUACGAUGCUGAAAAGCCGGUAUAGAUGCAUGAUCAGAGGCAUGCUUCUGAUGAGAGCCAUAAAUAUGAGCUACGCUAACUCGCGCAACUUGCCGUUUGCAAUCAGCACGGCAGACUCUUUUACGGUACAAAAAUAUGUUCGAUUUGGGUACCAGAAAGCGUAUACAUCUCUAUAACUGCAGACUCGAACCUGACAUUUCUCAAUUUUUAAAACAUUAGCAAGCUAAUAGAUAGAUUAGAUAUAAUUCUAUACCAAUGCGCUUAAUAAGAAUUUUACAUUCUUCA